GACGAACGCUGGCGGCGUGCCUAACACAUGCAAGUCGAGCGGGGUCCAUCCAGUGGCAACACUGGGGAAGACCUAGCGGCGAACGGGUGAGUAACACGUGAGAAACCUGCCCUGAACUCUGGGAUAACCCGAGGAAACUCGAGCUAAUACCGGAUGUCCCCACCAGAUCGCAUGGUCCGGUGAGGAAAGAUUUAUCGGUUCAGGAGGGUCUCGCGGCCUAUCAGCUAGUUGGCGGGGUAACGGCCCACCAAGGCAUCGACGGGUAGCUGGUCUGAGAGGACGAUCAGCCACACUGGGACUGAGACACGGCCCAGACUCCUACGGGAGGCAGCAGUGGGGGAAUAUUGCGCAAUGGGCGAAAGCCUGACGCAGCAACGCCGCGUGCGGGAUGACGGCCUCGGUUGGUAACG
This 410-nucleotide ribosomal RNA is filed under the name uncultured bacterium. RNAcentral describes it as "bacterial SSU rRNA". It matches the Rfam family "Bacterial small subunit ribosomal RNA", at positions 28 to 432 of the family's 1533-position model. The record is from RNAcentral.